UCUUCUUCAUGAAGCUUUGGUUGAGUAAACAAGAUCAGUCACAAAAUGUGAAAGAAAGAAAGACAGAAAGAACAUACAACUCUUCCUGUAGCUUUCUUCUCCCUCUUUUCCGUUGAAAAUAUGGACAAUAGAGUUUGUUGUCUCAUCAAGGUGAAGGACACCGUACUGAUUGAUUUAGGGACUGGCAAGAUACCCAACUUUAUCAAAUUGGACACAGAUCUCAAGACUGAGUCCCCAGUGAAUUUGUGACCCCACAAUGGAGAUCUAAUGGAGGUUUCUGGAGCAGUUGGCACAUCUCUAGGAGACACAUCUUGAAUUUCAGAAGAAAUAUGUGCCAUCUCAAAUAAAAUUUUCUUCAGCUACUUUUCUCACCUUGUUUUUCAACCCUGCGAGUUCACAUGCUGCUUUGGCAGACCUACACAGAUAAACCGUCUAGACCAUCACAGUGGUUCUCAACCUGAGUAGCUGUGACACCACAAGAUGACUGGUCUCCUAGCAAUUAAAGUGUAACAUUCAGCCAGUGUUCACUUCCCUAUGAAAUUUAUCCAGUUAAAGCAAGAUAUGGGCUGCUUACUUAAACAGUAACUUAAGAAAAUGAGAUCUGCAAAAUCUCAUUCCUAAAGAGUCUUAAACACAUCACAUAAAUAAAUCCAUUUCGUUUCUGAAAUAAAAGUGAUUUCUCUCCCUUCUACACACAUACUCUUAGCGCCAGUAGUGUUCCCAAGCCACACUUUGGUCUGCUCGCCUGUGUGCAGUAAAGCCAAUCUACUUACACCCGGUUGUGGUGAAGGUAAGUGUAGCCUUUAUUGCAGGUGCCAAGCAAGGAGUCCAGGCAGCUAGUGCUCAAAAGGCCUGAACUCCCUGCAGGCUUUCAGGGAAAGGCUUUUAAAGACAGGGUGAAGGGGGUGGGUUGUGGGUUGCAUGAUCAGCUCGUGGACAUUCUUCUGAUUGGUUGGUGGUGAGGUCAUUGUGAGUCAGCGUCAUCAACCUUCUGGUUCCAACCAGUCUGCAGUCUGUGUGCUUGUGGGCAGCAUGAAGUUAACUUCUCCCACCUGGUGGGGGUUUCAGUAUCUGCAAAACAGCUCAAAGGGCAUGGCUCAGAAUAUGAUUUAUAGCCCUGGAGGAGGAACUAAAGGUCCUUCACUUUGUUUAAUGGCUAAACUAUUAUUAUUUGUGUUUUGCUUCACUGUUUUCCUCUCUUUCUGCGUAUUCUGACUUCUCUGAUUAAAUUUGCUCUUUGGAACUUGAGGAAGGUCAAGGAGGGUAAAGUUUUUCUACAGACAAGGGCAGGCAGAGGACAUUGUGGGGAGUGUCUGUUCCAGGAAGCCUCCAUAGUUACAAUGCCCCCCUUUUUUUUGAUACCCCUCAGUCUUGAGGGACAGGUAGAGAAAAAGAAAGGGAAUAAAGUUUUGGAUAGAGAGGUUAAUUAUAAACAUGGCAGAAGAACUCAGUUUUAGUUUCCAUUUCUGUUUCAAUUUUCCUGAACUCUUUGAGGGAAUGGGGCAACAACCACUUUGGCUACCACCUAAUGAAAUGGAGCAUAGACCUGCCUAAUUUGGGAAUGGACACAGAGCUGGAAAUACUGCUGAGUUUCAAGUUUAGCAUCAAUAUUUUGUAGUAUGAAAACAUUACUUCUCUCUUUGAUUGUUUUGUUACAGCACCUGGACACACAUUUGAAAAUUAGCCAACAUAUUACAAUGAGGAUCAUGAUCAAAAAGAGUCCUCUAAUUUUAGAUGCAACCAGAAAAAAUAAGGUUUGGAGUGUUUCCUCUUUAAAUAUAUUCAGUAACCAAGUAAGCUUUUAAAUUAUUCUAUAUUUGGGUUUUUCAUUUUUCCAGGGUUUUUAUACAUAAUAGGAGCUAUUGGCCACUAGUAUCUCUCUCUGUGUCACUCUCUCUCUCUCUUCUUUUUUUGCCAAAAUGUAAUUUAAAGCAAUUUUAUUAGCUCAUAGUAUUCUGGCUGAAUAAUCUAGCACCUUUUGCUGGGAGGCUCUAUCUUGAGUUGGCUCAUUUGCCACUACUAUUUCUAAAGUAGGAGAUGGGUUUCACAGUUAUGAAGAGACCUUGAGACCAGAAGGUUGCAGCUGGCAGCUGCUAACAGAUACUGUUUUGAGAAAGGCUGGUAGUGUCCUUACAUUUGAUAAAGUUUAGGAAACUCAGGUUCUCAGUAGUAUAAGAACAUGUCUGAACUCACGUCAACAGUGGGCACCCAGCUCCAUUUUGGAGGCUUGAACCACAGUUACUCCAUUCUGAUUUUUAAGUGUAUCUUUCAUUAAUGGCUAAAGCCAAUGCACAGUGCAUGUUUUAUAGGCCACAAACAGGAUAUUUCAGUUAGCUUAAAUUUCAUAUUCAAUCAUGUAUAAGCCAGAGUCACAUUACCUGAGUAUGUGAACAUUUCCUCCAUCAUUUCCCCCUUUUGAUUGCAAAUCUUUCAGGAAAAAGCAUUGAUGAUCAAAAUAUCUGUCUGUCGUUGCUGGGUUGUUUGAGAUGCCUGCCCCAGGUCCAGAUCAUGUCCCUUGGUGCUAGGCCUCCUUCAUAUUGGCCUAGUUAUCCACAUUGGGGGAAAACUAAUCAGAUAUCACAAACGUGUUCAGAAAUGUGUUAAAUGGGGAAACAUUUUAUAGGGUAUACAUUUUAUCAAUCAUACCCAGUUGUCACAUAAGCACUGUACCCGUGCUUCCAGCAAUAAAUUUAAAGCAAGCAGUGUUACAUAUCAUGAGCAGUUAUACUCUGUGAAAACUCCAUUAGAGAAUUAUUUUCCUGUUUUAAACACUGAGGGUAACAAAAUUAUAGUAGAACAAUAACUUUCAAAGUUGAUAGGGAGACAAAUAUUUGGUAAACAGUAGUACAGUUGAAUUCAUAG
Non-coding RNA from Globicephala melas (long-finned pilot whale), 2862 nucleotides. The record is from RefSeq and is a predicted model, not a curated record. NCBI's taxonomy places the organism in Eukaryota, Metazoa, Chordata, Mammalia, Artiodactyla, Delphinidae.